Molecule: ribosomal RNA, 474 nt
Filed under: uncultured bacterium
Lineage: Bacteria
Description: partial 16S ribosomal RNA
Rfam family: Bacterial small subunit ribosomal RNA
Source: RNAcentral
GGUGAACGCUGGCGGCGUGCUUAAGACAUGCAAGUCGAACGAACGUCUUCGGACGGUAGUGGCGCACGGGUGAGUACCGCGUAACUGACCUGCCCCCAAGUUCCGAAUAACCCUCCGAAAGGAAGGCCAAUACGGGAUGUGCUGUCCCCUCCUGUGUGGCCAGUAACGGCUUUCCCGCUUGGGGAUGGGGUUGCGUUGCACCAGCUAGUUGGUGGGGUAAAGGCCGACCAUGGCGACGAUGCAUAGCCGACCUGAGAGGGUGGCCGGACACAGUGGAAGUGAGACACGGGCCAGACGCCUACGGGAGGCAGCAGUAGGGAAGCUUCCGCAAUGGGCGAAAGCCGGAAGGAGCAACGCCGCGUGAGUGAGGAAGGUCUGCGGAUAGGAAAACUCUGUUAUUAGGGAAGAACAAAUGUGUAAGUAACUAUGCACGUCUUGACGGGACCUAAUCAGAAAGCCACGGCUAACUACGUG